GCCACUCCGGCCCCGGUUAGCGUCGUGCGCUCUGUUCGUUCACCGCGAGGCCUGUGCGCCCGUUUCCCCGUGCGGGCCGUCCGCGCCGCUGCACCCGCCGGGGAGCAGCUCCCGAGCCAGGACGGGCGGGCUCCUCGCCCACUGGUGUGCCGGUGGCGCCGAGGGGUGGUGGCCCCACGGAAGGCGAGCUUCUUUGUUGUCAUCUUAAUUUAUAGGAGCCUGAACUGAUAACAACACAAACGCCAAUCAACAAAAGGAUGGACAGACUGUGGUCUCUCUAUGCGAGGAAAUCCUACUGAGAAAUAUUGGGUACAUGGCAUCCCCAAAACGUUACCAGGCGUGUGAAGAGGCGACCAACUACGCACCACGAGGAGGAGAACGUGCAGUCGAUUGGACCGGAGCCAGAAAUAACGCAGAUAAACCCGAGGCCCAGAUGACUCCAAUACAGAAUUGACCACACAUUCAGAGAAGAAAAAAACAUACCACUUCUAGGCAAAAUCUUCCAGAAAAUUGAAGAGGGUUCAGAGCACUUGAGAAGCAAGAGUCAACUCCCCUCCACCAGCAGAGCCAGGCCCCACAGCCCUGGGUCCACAAUGGAUUAUUCUACGUCUCCCCCAUUUCACAGAUGGAAGAGCCGAGUUCCAGAACAUUCCACACUUGCUCCAGGUCCCACAGGAGGGGCACACGUGGUCUGGGAACACAGCUCUCACUGUCUUGGGCAGGCAGGCGAAGGAGGGCAACCCAGGCGGGUGUAGAGUAGGUGGGGUUUCACCCCGAUUCUGGUCCCUGGGGCGUGAGGACCUUUUAAACAGGGACCCCCCUGCUCCUCUCUUGGGGUUGAAGGGGGGGAUCAAUGGGUUAGCGUGUCGGGCACGGGGGCCACGGCUGGCCUGACAGGCACUUAGUGUCGGCUCUGAGGGCUGUUCGGAAUGGGGGACCCCAGGGAUGCCGUCCUGCUCCGGAGAGAGGGCCCUGGGAGCGCUCGGGCCUGGGGCUGGAGCAGGUGCAGGCCGACCUGGCCACACGGCGGGCUCCCGUGCAUUCUCCACGUUGGACUCGGCUCUCUUGUGCCUGAGUCCCGCUCUAAGCUUGCACCCCUGAGCACUUGGGAAGAGUGACAUCCGUCCUUUUGGCCCACGUGAAGCCAGUGCCACCCAAAGGCUGGGCCCCUCCCACUGAGUGCGGGGCAGGGUUGGGCAUCGGAGCGAAGCCCCCAGGGGCGGCAGGGAGACAAGGCAGGGAGACAGGGAGACGCGGCUCUGAAUGGAAAGUGGUCGUUGCUUUAAUUCUGGGCAGGAUGGCCACCGAGGCCCGGCCAGGCCUGCCCGUGGCGGGGACCACCGCUGCUCCGUUAACAUGAUUGCUUACAAAAAUAAAUA
Long non-coding RNA from Suricata suricatta (meerkat), 1379 nucleotides. RefSeq lists it as uncharacterized. The transcript is spliced from 5 exons. The record is from RefSeq and is a predicted model, not a curated record. Lineage: Eukaryota; Metazoa; Chordata; Mammalia; Carnivora; Herpestidae.